UACCUGCGUGCAAAGCUUCUGCAUUGAA
Molecule: small RNA, 28 nt
Filed under: Bombyx mori (domestic silkworm)
Lineage: Eukaryota; Metazoa; Arthropoda; Insecta; Lepidoptera; Bombycidae
Description: ovarian small RNA-20891
Source: RNAcentral